RNAcentral lists this ribosomal RNA (507 nucleotides) under uncultured bacterium. Its description in RNAcentral is "bacterial SSU rRNA". It matches the Rfam family "Bacterial small subunit ribosomal RNA", at positions 29 to 508 of the family's 1533-position model. The record is from RNAcentral.
AACGAACGCUGGCGGCGUGGAUAAGACAUGCAAGUCGAACGCUGAUUACGUUGCAGCAAUGUAGCGUGGUUGGAGUGGCGCAAGGGUGCGUAACACGUGGGUAAUUUGCCAUGAAGUUGGGGAUAACUUGCUGAAAGGCGAGCUAAUACCGAAUGUGAUCAUUAGGAGGCAUCUUCUGAUGAUUGAAGUUGGGGACCGUAAGGCCUGACGCUUCAUGAUAAGCCCGCGGCCUAUCAGCUAGUUGGUGAGGUAACGGCUCACCAAGGCUAAGACGGGUAGCUGGUCUGAGAGGACGACCAGCCACACUGGAACUGAGACACGGUCCAGACACCUACGGGUGGCAGCAGUCGAGAAUUUUUCUCAAUGGGCGCAAGCCUGAAGGAGCGACGCCGCGUGGGGGAUGAAUGGCUUCGGCCCGUAAACCCCUGUCAUUUGCGAACAAAGUGCAUUAUUUAAAAGAUGAUGCAUUGAUAGUAGUGAAAGAGGAAGGGACGGCUAACUCUGUGC